UACGGAGGGUGCGAGCGUUAAUCGGAAUUAUUGGGCGUAAAGAGUGCGUAGGUGGUUUAGUGUGUUAGAUGUGAAAUCCAUGGGCUUAACCUGUGAACUGCAUUUAAAACUGCUAGGCUAGAGUGUUGUAGAGGGUGGCGGAAUUUCCAGUGUAGCGGUGAAAUGCGUAGAUAUUGGAAGGAACACCAGUGGCGAAGGCGGCCACCUGGACAAACACUGACACUGAGGUACGAAAGCGUGGGAGC
This 245-nucleotide ribosomal RNA is filed under the name uncultured Thalassomonas sp. RNAcentral's name for it is "partial 16S ribosomal RNA". It matches the Rfam family "Bacterial small subunit ribosomal RNA", at positions 524 to 769 of the family's 1533-position model. Lineage: Bacteria; Pseudomonadati; Pseudomonadota; Gammaproteobacteria; Alteromonadales; Colwelliaceae. The record is from RNAcentral.